AUGCAAGUCGAGCGGACAGAAGGGAGCUUGCUCCCGGAUGUUAGCGGCGGACGGGUGAGUAACACGUGGGUAACCUGCCUGUAAGACUGGGAUAACUCCGGGAAACCGGAGCUAAUACCGGAUAGUUCUUGAACCGCAUGGUUCAAGGAUGAAAGACGGUUUCGGCUGUCACUUACAGAUGGACCCGCGGCGCAUUAGCUAGUUGGUGGGGUAAUGGCUCACCAAGGCGACGAUGCGUAGCCGACCUGAGAGGGGAUCGGCCACACUGGGACUGAGACACGGCCCAGACUCCUACGGGAGGCAGCAGUAGGGAAUCUUCCGCAAUGGACGAAAGUCUGACGGAGCAACGCCGCGUGAGUGAUGAAGGUUUUCGGAUCGUAAAGCUCUGUUGUUAGGGAAGAACAAGUGCGAGAGUAACUCUCGCACCUUGACGGUACCUAACCAGAAAGCCACGGCUAACUACGUGCCAGCAGCCGCGGUAAUACGUAGGUGGCAAGCGUUGUCCGGAAUUAUUGGGCGUAAAGGGCUCGCAGGCGGUUUCUUAAGCUGAUGUGAAAGCCCCCGGCUCAACCGGGGAGGGUCAUUGGAAACUGGGAAACUUGAGUGCAGAAGAGGAGAGUGGAAUUCCACGUGUAGCGGUGAAAUGCGUAGAGAUGUGGAGGAACACCAGUGGGAAGGCGACUCUCUGGUCUGUAACUGACGCUGAGGAGCGAAAGCGUGGGGAGCGAACAGGAUUAGAUACCCUGGUAGUCCACGCCGUAAACGAUGAGUGCUAAGUGUUAGGGGGUUCCGCCCCUUAGGCUGCAGCUAACGCAUUAAGCACUCCGCCUGGGGAGUACGGUCGCAAGACUGAAACUCAAAGGAAUUGACGGGGGCCCGCACAAGCGGUGGAGCAUGUGGUUUAAUUCGAAGCAACGCGAAGAACCUACCAGGUCUUGACAUCCUCUGACAACCCUAGAGAUAGGGCUUUCCCUUCGGGGACAGAGUGACAGGUGGUGCAUGGUUGUCGUCAGCUCGUGUCGUGAGAUGUUGGGUUAAGUCCCGCAACGAGCGCACCCUUGAUCUUAGUUGCCAGCAUUCAGUUGGGCACUCUAAGGUGACUGCCGGUGACAAACCGGAGGAAGGUGGGGAUGACGUCAAAUCAUCAUGCCCCUUAUGACCUGGGCUACACACGUGCUACAUG
RNAcentral lists this ribosomal RNA (1183 nucleotides) under Bacillus safensis. RNAcentral describes it as "bacterial SSU rRNA". It matches the Rfam family "Bacterial small subunit ribosomal RNA", at positions 55 to 1231 of the family's 1533-position model. The record is from RNAcentral. Lineage: Bacteria; Bacillati; Bacillota; Bacilli; Caryophanales; Bacillaceae.